RNAcentral lists this ribosomal RNA (414 nucleotides) under uncultured bacterium. RNAcentral's name for it is "bacterial SSU rRNA". It matches the Rfam family "Bacterial small subunit ribosomal RNA", at positions 358 to 769 of the family's 1533-position model. The record is from RNAcentral.
GGAAUAUUUGUCAAUGGGGGCAACCCUGAACCAGCCAUGCCGCGUGCAGGACGACUGCCCUAUGGGUUGUAAACUGCUUUUGUUAGGGAAUAAACCCCACUACGUGUAGUGGGCUGAAUGUACCUAAAGAAUAAGGAGCGGCUAACUCCGUUCCAGCAGCCGCGGUAAUACGGAGGAUCCGAGCGUUAUCCGGAUUUAUUGGGUUUAAAGGGUGCGUAGGCGGCACUUUAAGUCAGGGGUGAAAGACGGCAGCUCAACUGUCGCAAUGCCCUUGAUACUGAAGUGCUUGAAUGCGGUUGAAGACGGCGGAAUGAGACAAGUAGCGGUGAAAUGCAUAGAUAUGUCUCAGAACACCGAUUGCGAAGGCAGCUGUUUAAGCCGUUAUUGACGCUGAUGCACGAAAGCGUGGGGAUC